CAAGUCGUAACAAGGUUUCCGUAGGUGAACCUGCGGAAGGAUCAUUAGCAAAUUUAUGAACUCCGUUUCAUAAACCCAAUCGGCGUAUCUGUCCUUGUUGCUUCCGCAAGUUGGAUGCUAUUAUCAUCUGCUCUUGUUCUCAAGGGAGCUUGCGGGAGGAUUUUUCGAAACUUGAUUUGUUUUUAUUGUCUGAUAUCUUGCAUUGCCAAAAGUAUUAAAACUUUCAACAACGGAUCUCUUGGUUCUCGCAUCGAUGAAGAGCGCAGCGAAAUGCGAUAACUAGUGUGAAUUGCAGAAUUCCGUGAAUCAUCGAGUUCUUGAACGCAUAUUGCGCCCUCUGGUAUUCCGGAGGGCAUGCCUGUUCGAGUGUCAUUAAAUCCUCCUCAGGAGUGAAUCUUCUCACAUCCUGGUAUUGAAUUCGGAGUCCUGUUCAGUAAGGCUUCCAAUUCGAAAUCGAGUGGCACAAAUGAUUGUCAGUUCUGUGUGAUAAGUUUUCACCUUCACGGAUUGAGCUCUCGUUUGUCGUCUCCAACAAUCUUGCUCCAUCUUUAUGACCUCGGAUCAGGUAAGGAUACCCGCUGAACUUAA
RNAcentral lists this small RNA (588 nucleotides) under uncultured Pyronemataceae. RNAcentral describes it as "eukaryotic LSU rRNA". The stretch from base 219 to 372 matches the Rfam family "5.8S ribosomal RNA". Lineage: Eukaryota; Fungi; Ascomycota; Pezizomycetes; Pezizales; Pyronemataceae. The record is from RNAcentral.